AUACGGAGGAUUCGAGCGUUAUCCGGAUUUAUUGGGUUUAAAGGGAGCGUAGGCGGACUAUUAAGUCAGCUGUGAAAGUUUGCGGCUCAACCGUAAAAUUGCAGUUGAUACUGGUCGUCUUGAGUGCAGUAGAGGUAGGCGGAAUUCGUGGUGUAGCGGUGAAAUGCUUAGAUAUCACGAAGAACUCCGAUUGCGAAGGCAGCUUAGUGGACUGGAACUGACGCUGAUGCUCGAAAGUGUGGGUAUCAAACAGGAGUAGAUACCCUGGUAGACCACACAGUAAACGAUGAAUACUCGCUGUUUGCGAUAUACAGCAAGCGGCCAAGCGAAAGCAUUAAGUAUUCCACCUGGGGAGUACGCCGGCAACGGUGAAACUCAAAGGAAUUGACGGGG
RNAcentral lists this ribosomal RNA (393 nucleotides) under uncultured bacterium. RNAcentral's name for it is "partial 16S ribosomal RNA". It matches the Rfam family "Bacterial small subunit ribosomal RNA", at positions 523 to 918 of the family's 1533-position model. The record is from RNAcentral.